RNAcentral lists this long non-coding RNA (1378 nucleotides) under Piliocolobus tephrosceles (Ugandan red Colobus). RNAcentral's name for it is "lncRNA (ENSPTEG00000004675.1)". The record is from RNAcentral. Lineage: Eukaryota; Metazoa; Chordata; Mammalia; Primates; Cercopithecidae.
CUCUGAGGCCGUGGCAGGGCACAGAUCAUGAAGAACAGUUGAUCCCAGACCAAAGCCCACAUAGAACUGAGGAUGUGUAAAGGGUAUAUGACUGGCUCACUCCUUGGUUUAAAGCCACUUUAAUCUAGGACGUUGGGGAAACCAGAGAGCAUGUCGAUUCCAUUAAGGAAAGAAGAGAAAUGCUUAUGGAAACAGUACCACCUGCAUAUCCAUUGGCCUCCCCUUCCCGACCUCCACCCUGCUGUUACCCAUCAGUCAUCUGAAAGGAAGAUCCCACAGAGUUGACAGAGUCCUUUACAGAGAAGAUCGUCAUAUGCUCUCCGUAGGUUACCUGUCUAUUUAAGAAGCAAACCUCUCGUCACCUGCUGCGGAGCAUCUCGAUGUUAGAAACCACACCACUAUUUUUAGUGUGUGUCCUUGUGCUUCUGCACGAUGAGUCAGGGUUCUCUUUUUAAAAAUACUUGGCAUUCCUCAGAAGAAAGAUAAACACAUUUAAUGUUCUCAGUUGCUACUAUUCUAAUCACCAAGUCAAGAGUUGCUUCUUUUCUUAGCUGCCUCCAGUGCCACAGAACUAUCUGGGCCUCUUCCUCUACCCCGCCUCGUGUGAUCACUCCUUUCAAAAGCAGCAGCCAAAGCAGAUGCGAGGGAGAUGCACUGGUGCUCAUAAAUUCAAGGAGCUAAAAUGGCAACAGCUGUGGCAAUUUCAGGAUUUCAGCAGGUAAUCAAGUGCAAACUGGGGUGCUGUCAAGCAACCUGGUGCUGAGGGGGCAGAGCCAGGAUGGACCCGGAUUCUGGAUUUCCACCAUGUGCCUGGUGGAUACCAUGCGGAUGUGGAGCAGGCAAUGCUGGGUGCAAAUCCCCGCCAGGAACUGUUCAUCCUGAAAAAAACCUGCUGCACAUUGCCCUGGUCACCUCAACGAAAAAUCCUGCCUGGAGGAGCAGGGUGCCCUGCCCUAUCUGCACUGGACACUUGGGACCACAGCCGCUGCCCUGUGAGCCUCACUUAAUUGAAUUGCAAAGUUAAAUGUCCAUGACACAGGAACAGAGCAGCUUUAAGAUUGGAGAAGGAAUGCAAAAUUCAAAUUCUCACAGCUUCUUACUGAAAAAUAUCACGAUCCACGUGGAUGAAGCCAACACUGUUGGAAAUGCCACUCCCACACUGCCCUCGGCUCUGCCUGUCUGCAAGGACUGAUGAUUUUCAACUGGAAGGACCAGCCACAGCCAGUCCCCAAACCGAUCAGAACCAAGCUGAGAAGUUUAUCCAGGGUUCCUUACCCAUCAUGCAUGAGAUACAGAAUUAAGUUGUCUGAAGCUUGGUUGCAGCUCAAGGAACUGCUGGUCUCUUGAGUAACUCUCUUAGUGUGUAAUCCAUAUAGCA